GGAGGUAUAGCUCAAGUGGUAGAGCACAUGCUUAGCAUGCAUGAGGUUAUUGGUUCAAUCCCCAGUAUCUCCU
RNAcentral lists this transfer RNA (73 nucleotides) under Camelus bactrianus (Bactrian camel). It matches the Rfam family "tRNA". Rfam says of the family: Transfer RNA (tRNA) molecules are approximately 80 nucleotides in length. Their secondary structure includes four short double-helical elements and three loops (D, anti-codon, and T loops). RNAcentral also lists the same sequence under 3 other names. Lineage: Eukaryota; Metazoa; Chordata; Mammalia; Artiodactyla; Camelidae. The record is from Rfam by way of RNAcentral.